UAGUCCAUGCCGUAAACGAUGGAUACUAGCUGUCGGAGGACUAACCCCUUCGGUGGCGCAGCUAACGCGUUAAGUAUCCCGCCUGGGGAGUACGAUCGCAAGGUUGAAACUCAAAGGAAUUGACGGGGGCCCGCACAAGCGGUGGAGCAUGUGGAUUAAUUCGAUGCAACGCGAAGAACCUUACCUGGGCUUGAACUGUGUAUGACCACUUAAGAGAUUAAGUUUUCUAACUUGUUAGACAUAUAUAGAGGUGCUGCAUGGCUGUCGUCAGCUCGUGUCGUGAGAUGUUGGGUUAAGUCCCGGCAACGAGCGCAACCCUUAUCAUUAGUUGCCAGCGCGUCAUGGCGGGGACUCUAAUGAGACUGCCCGGGUUAACCGGGAGGAAGGUGGGGAUGACGUCAAGUCCUCAUGGCCCUUAUGUCCAGGGCUUCACACGUGCUACAAUGGUCAGAACAGAAUGUUGCUACUUCGCGAGAAGAUGCUAAUCAUUAAAUCUGGUCCU
This 502-nucleotide ribosomal RNA is filed under the name uncultured bacterium. RNAcentral's name for it is "bacterial SSU rRNA". It matches the Rfam family "Bacterial small subunit ribosomal RNA", at positions 791 to 1289 of the family's 1533-position model. The record is from RNAcentral.